UUGACGCGCACGGGGCUAAUUGUCUCCUCUUCCAUUGACUCUGUCAAUUCAUGACUUUGACGCGCACGGUAGCUGCUAACUGCCUUCUCCAUUUGACGUGCAAAAAACUUUCUUGAGUCGGGUUAAAAUUAAUUGAUCAUUUUAUUUGGUGAUAAUGACUUAGUUGUCAAGUCAUGAGUUUGAUGAUGAAGAGGACGAAAAAUAUUAUUUUAUUAUUUAAAAUAAGACUAUCAAUUAUUUCGAUGGUCAUCUUAUUUUCUAAAAUAACUUAAUGGAAUCUUACAGAAUAGAGUGCUUGACUUCUUCAUACAGUGCUUGACUUCUUUUUACAGAAUUAUAAAGUGAAAAAGGAAAUUAAGAAAUUAAAUACUUUUCAUGCGAGUGGAGAAGAUUGGGUAGCGAUUACAUUAAAUAAA
Molecule: long non-coding RNA, 416 nt
Filed under: Citrus sinensis (sweet orange)
Lineage: Eukaryota; Viridiplantae; Streptophyta; Magnoliopsida; Sapindales; Rutaceae
Description: long non-coding RNA (CSIN_LNC000292)
Source: RNAcentral